RNAcentral lists this ribosomal RNA (218 nucleotides) under uncultured bacterium. RNAcentral's name for it is "partial 16S ribosomal RNA". It matches the Rfam family "Bacterial small subunit ribosomal RNA", at positions 118 to 334 of the family's 1533-position model. The record is from RNAcentral.
UGAAGAACUUGUCCAUCGGCGGGGGAUAGCCGGCCCAACGGCCGGGUAAUACCGCGUACGCCGGCGAGGGCGCAUGCCCAUGCCGGGAAAGCAGCAAUGCACCGAUGGAGAGCUUCGCGGCCUAUCAGCUAGUUGGCGGGGUAAUGGCCCACCAAGGCAACGACGGGUAGCUGGUCUGAGAGGAUGACCAGCCACAUUGGGACUGAGACACGGCCCAG